CAGCGAUGGCAGCGGCAUCCUUUUUUCCGUUUCUUUAAGGGAAAAAGAUACAGCGGACAGCGCGGCCGUUC
This 71-nucleotide small RNA is filed under the name Flavobacterium noncentrifugens. Its description in RNAcentral is "Flavo-1 RNA". It matches the Rfam family "Flavo-1 RNA". Lineage: Bacteria; Pseudomonadati; Bacteroidota; Flavobacteriia; Flavobacteriales; Flavobacteriaceae. The record is from RNAcentral.